CUUUAUCUCUCUCUUUCACUUCUUCUGGCCCUCUUAUUCUCUCUCGUUCCCUUUUUCUUCAAGUGUUUCAGCCCUUUCGAUGAAUAUCGCUGGUACUCGAUUUCUAGGGUUUCUCUCAAGCCUGUAUUGGAGAAAUUUCGAUCGAGAUCUCUUGCAUUCCAAACCUUCUAGUUCCUUUCGAUCUCAGGCGCUGAAGGGUUAGCGUUUGUGUUUGAUCUAUGAUCGAUAUCGUGCUUGAGGUUUUUCUUGUCAUGGAAAUGGAGAAGGUUGUCACGGAGCCAAAAUGCUAGAAGAGGUGUUCAUCACUGAACGGUAGCAUAGAACAGUGCCUUUGCCUUAUUCUUGAAUUGUAACUAUAUUCAAACAACAUGCAAAAAGGUUGGCUGCUUUAAACAGCAGAUUGAUUGGCAUCAAAGUUGGAGACUUUUGCUAUGUUAAAGAAGGCCUUGUUCUUGGCCAACUCAUGGGAAACUGAUUCACAAUUACCUUGAGAGGUGUUGUGGCAGAAUCUCAGGAUAUUGUGAAAGCUGCAGCUGAUGGUUUGAGCUAGAAUGGGUUUAUCAACUAUUAUGGUUUACAGGUUGGGGAUAAAACAAAUUUUUACAAAAGGUUCUACAUAUUUUGUACAUUGUUGUGAUGUCUUAAAGUAACCCCUCUAUUUUAUUUCUUUUUAUUUUAAUGUUAUUAUUAUAUAUUUUUAUUUUUUAUUUUUUAUUUUUACAAAUGCAAUAAGCGUUUUGGAAGUGGUUCAGUGCCUAUUCACAUGAUUAGAGCAGCAUUGCUAAAAGGGGAAUGGUAGCACGCUGUGGAUUUGAUUCUUAACCCAAGAGAAGGAGAUAUCCUUAAACAAUUGAUAUGCUUUGAGCUUGGUUCUAGUUAUGGCUCUUAGACUAUUGUCAUUGGGUACUUCUUCUUAUUAGUUGUUCUCCUAUUUUUUUUUAAGUGUUUAGAUCAAACAACAUGCUUUUGUAAGGGAUACUUGUGAAUCCUACAAGGAAAAUGGUGAUAUUGAUAUAGCCCUGAGGCAGUUUCCUCACCAUCUUGUUGCUGAGAGAGCUGUUGUAAGCCUUCUCUCUCUCAUACACACACACGCACAAACGCAUGCACGCACGCACAUCAUGGUAAAGUGUGUUUUGAUAUACAUUUGUUCAUUACUUGCUUGACUAUCCAUCCUCUUCACUUGGAUAAUGUUUUUUUUUUGUUAUAUAGCAUCAAUAUCUGAAGAAAUGCCCUGGAAACUAUCUGUAGGCACUAAAAGCGAUACCUAGAACUCUUAGAAUGAUGUAUGUAAUUGCAUUAAGUUUGAGUUGCCCAUACUGCAUUGUGUUUUAUAUCUCACACUAAAGUCUCAUCUAUGACUUAUUUUCACUUAUUAGUUGCUUUAUAUCUUCAUGAACUCCAAAUAGUUGUCUUUUCAUUAGAAACAAUUGACAUGUAUUGUAGGUUUAUAAGUUUUCACCUACUAAUGCUCUUGCAAUUUCUGCCUAUCUGCUUUCUUCAAUGGACAGGGUAAUUGUAGUUUACUUUGGAAGACAGUUCUUUUAACUGUUAGGUGCUCUAUUGUAUGAAAUUGAACCACAAAAGGCAGUCACUUAUUGGUUGCUUUAUAUCUUCAUGAACUCCAAAUAUUAUACAGUGGUGCAAACUUGUGUUGUUGCAUGUUAUAGCAUUGCUUUGGGUGGUAUGAUAUAUAUAUAUAUAUAUAUUUUUUGGCUUUGGUUUUUUAGAGUGUUCAUGUACAAAUGAUGAUGAGGAAUAAGGUUAAUUUUUGCAGGUGGAUUUGGAUCUUAUUUACCAAGUUAUAGAUGAUACAUAAUAUGUAUCUCAAACAUCAUAUGUCAGAGUGUCUUAGAGACUCGUUGCUGGAUUCCUGAAUUUUGAAAUGGUUCAAAUCAACAGGCUGUGGUAGUUGAAAUUAAAAUAUCACAUGCCCAAAUGUAGCAGCACUUUCUUUUCUUGCUGAAAUCUAUCAAAAUUGAUGUGCUGCAAUUCAGUAGUCCAAAUUCAGGAAACUUAAUUCUUCUUGGCCAACCUUGCACUGUGGGCAAGGCUAGUGGUAUGAUGAAUGCUUGUUUUUAGAGUGUUGGUUGGGUGAGAUGGAAAGAUAGUCGAAGAAAGCAUGUGGGGAUUGGGAAUUGGCAUGGUUAAUGUAAGCACUGUAAGGGUUCAGAGAGAAUUGAAUGAAGAACUAGUAAAACAAAGAAGAGGAGAACACAAGGGAUGAGGGCAUUAGGGGAUAACAUUUCAACCGGCAUGUCUUCAAAAUGGAGAACAUUCUAUGAGUUUCUACAUUGAUUUGGUGUUCUUGCCCCUAAAAUACUGGAAAGAAAAUUGGAAAGACCAAGGUAUUCCUGAGAGCUUGUCAGAUGGAUGAAUUACAUGCAAGAAGAGCUGAAGUUCUUGGAAGAGUAGCCUUACUGGAGAGGAAAAAUAUUCUCUGAAGUUGAUAAAAAUGUUUUAGAAUGCUAUGAAUUCAAAGUCCAUCCUUUGUGUAAAAUCACAAUUAAAUCCUGAUGUCUACUUGCUCACUUUGUAAAGAUGUAUUCUUAAAUACAAGUUAUGAGUUUGUAUAUUUGAAGAUAUAAAUAUUAUUAAUUUUAA
Dioscorea cayenensis subsp. rotundata (Guinea yam) is the source of this 2601-nucleotide long non-coding RNA. RefSeq lists it as uncharacterized. Lineage: Eukaryota; Viridiplantae; Streptophyta; Magnoliopsida; Dioscoreales; Dioscoreaceae. The transcript has 8 exons. The record is from RefSeq and is a predicted model, not a curated record.